UGGAAGUGGCGUGAUCCUACAGGACUUCAGAUUAAAAAAUGGCUUUCAAGUUAUUUGACAGUCUGAGGAUUCUGGGCCUCCAAAAGAGGACCAGGGGGUCUUGUCUAAACUCCAAAUGCAGCGAUUAAUGUCACUCUUCCACUCUCCGAAGAGCCUUUUCGGAUAGUGUUGCUUCUCCGUGCAGUUCUUCCUAACAACAGAACUUCAUUGCUCCUGUUGGAAACUGGCUCUUCCUUUGACCUCAGAAAUUAGCACACGUCCACUCAUGAUCCCCAGCUGCCCUUUUAUACAGGGAAAGGCUGUCUCUGACCACAUCCUCACACCCAUGUCUACAGAAUCAAUGCCUGAAUUAGACCUUCCGUCUGGAAGUUCUCCGAAUCCACACACUCACACUCUACCUGCCCCUAAGGUCUUUCUGGCCACUGGCCUGGCAUGAGCUAAGCGUCCAAGGAGAUUUCUUUAACUCACCAGGCCGCCCCUCUCUGGGAGAGGAAAGGGAAAUUGAGUUUUGGCAAAGACACAAAGAUUCUGUGAUUGAAACCAAGAAGUUCCUUGUGUGAAAAAGAAAAGUCUGUGUAUGAGCAAAGGCUGAAUCGAACAAAAACUAAGUGGUUGUCAUGUUCAGAUCAGAGGACAGCUCCCUUAAGACACUCUUGAGAAGAAUCAUUUUGGGAUGGUAGAGACAAAAGGGGAUGGAAAGAUGUCACCUCAUACUCAUGAGCCACCGUAUUUGUGGAGUUUUUAUGUCUAUAAAGUA
This is a long non-coding RNA of Myotis daubentonii (Daubenton's bat), 757 nucleotides long. RefSeq lists it as uncharacterized. NCBI's taxonomy places the organism in Eukaryota, Metazoa, Chordata, Mammalia, Chiroptera, Vespertilionidae. The record is from RefSeq and is a predicted model, not a curated record.